CCCGGUGUAGCGGUGAAAUGCGUAGAUAUCGGGAAGAACACCAGUGGCGAAGGCGCUCUGCUGGGCCAUUACUGACGCUCAUGGACGAAAGCCAGGGGAGCGAAAGGGAUUAGAUACCCCUGUAGUCCUGGCCGUAAACGAUGAACACUAGGUGUCGGGGGAAUCGACCCCUUCGGUGUCGUAGCUAACGCGUUAAGUGUUCCGCCUGGGGAGUACGCACGCAAGUGUGAAACUCAAAGGAAUUGACGGGGGCCCGCACAAGCGGUGGAGUAUGUGGUUUAAUUCGAUGCAACGCGAAGAACCUUACCAGGGUUUGACAUCCUGCGAACCUCUUAGAAAUUUGAGGGUGCCUUCGGGAAUGCAGUGACAGGUGGUGCAUGGCUGUCGUCAGCUCGUGUCGUGAGAUGUUGGGUUAAGUCCCGCAACGAGCGCAACCCACGUUUUUAGUUGCCAGCAUUUAGUUGGGCACUCUAGAAAGACCGCCGGUGAUAAACCGGAGGAAGGUGUGGAUGACGUCAAGUCAUCAUGCCCCUUACACCCUGGGCUACACACGUACUACAAUGCUACGGACAAAGGGCAGCAAACUCGCGAGAGCUAGCAAAUCCCAUAAACCGUGGCUCAGUUCAGAUCGUAGGCUGCAACUCGCCUACGUGAAGUAGGAAUCGCUAGUAAUCGUAGGUCAGCAUACUGCGGUGAAUACGUUCCCGGGCCUUGUACACACCGCCCGUCACACCAUGGAUAGUUGGCCAUGCCCGAAGUCGUUACUCCAA
RNAcentral lists this ribosomal RNA (770 nucleotides) under uncultured marine bacterium. RNAcentral's name for it is "bacterial SSU rRNA". It matches the Rfam family "Bacterial small subunit ribosomal RNA", at positions 669 to 1438 of the family's 1533-position model. The record is from RNAcentral.